AGUUGGAUCCUGGCUCAGAACGAACGCUGGCGGCGGGCUUAUCACAUGCAAGUCGAACGCCCCGCAAGGGGAGUGGCAGACGGGUGAGUAACGCGUGGGAAUCUACCGUACCCUACGGAAUAACGCAUGGAAACGUGUGCUAAUACCGUAUACGCCCUUCGGGGGAAAGAUUUAUCGGGGUAUGAUGAGCCCGCGUUGGAUUAGCUAGUUGGUGGGGUAAAGGCCUACCAAGGCGACGAUCCAUAGCUGGUCUGAGAGGAUGAUCAGCCACAUUGGGACUGAGACACGGCCCAAACUCCUACGGGAGGCAGCAGUGGGGAAUAUUGGACAAUGGGCGCAAGCCUGAUCCAGCCAUGCCGCGUGAGUGAUGAAGGUCUUAGGAUUGUAAAGCUCUUUCACCGAUGAAGAUAAUGACGGUAGUCGGAGAAGAAGCCCCGGCUAACUUCGUGCCAGCAGCCGCGGUAAUACGAAGGGGGCUAGCGUUGUUCGGAAUUACUGGGCGUAAAGCGCACGUAGGCGGAUAUUUAAGUCAGGGGUGAAAUCCCGCAGCUCAACUGCGGAACUGCCUUUGAUACUGGGUAUCUCGAGUGUGGAAGAGGUGAGUGGAAUUCCGAGUGUAGAGGUGAAAUUCGUAAUAUUCGGAGGAACACCAGUGGCGAAAGCGGUUCACUGGUCCUUACUGACGCUGAGGUGCGAAAGCGUGGGGAGCAA
Molecule: ribosomal RNA, 711 nt
Filed under: uncultured Alphaproteobacteria bacterium
Lineage: Bacteria; Pseudomonadati; Pseudomonadota; Alphaproteobacteria
Description: bacterial SSU rRNA
Rfam family: Bacterial small subunit ribosomal RNA
Source: RNAcentral